This 201-nucleotide long non-coding RNA is filed under the name Lathyrus oleraceus (garden pea). RNAcentral describes it as "Pisum sativum (pea) long non-coding RNA (PSAT_LNC032152)". The record is from RNAcentral. Lineage: Eukaryota; Viridiplantae; Streptophyta; Magnoliopsida; Fabales; Fabaceae.
AUUAGAUGAUGAAAAAUAAAAGAAAAUUUUAGAAAUUAUUUUGGGAUUUUUUGGAUGCAAAAUAAAAUUUCUAUGAAUUUUAAAAGAAAAUACAAUUAAAAAUGAAAAAAGAAAGAGAAAUAAAAUCAUAAAAAACACGCAGCGUUGGAUCUGGCCUCAUUAAUUGACGUGGCAGAUCCAACAAUCACAAGGCUAGGGCGC